Long non-coding RNA from Coregonus clupeaformis (lake whitefish), 572 nucleotides. RefSeq lists it as uncharacterized. The record is from RefSeq and is a predicted model, not a curated record. NCBI's taxonomy places the organism in Eukaryota, Metazoa, Chordata, Actinopteri, Salmoniformes, Salmonidae. The transcript is spliced from 4 exons.
UUCAAUAUAACAAUAUCCAGUUAAGCUACAGUCAAUGCUGAUAUUGUGUGUUUGUGUGGGUUCAGAAUGUGCCCAGAGGAGAAGGGCACAGUAUGGCAUCUGAGCAGAUCAUCAUGAACUUCAUCCAGCUGCAUCAGCCAAUACAGACCAUUCACACAGUCCAGUCACUCAGCACUAUCCAGAAUCUCUCAAAGUCCUACACUACUUCUUUCUCCUACAACACCCUGACGAGAAACAAAAAGUCUGGCCCCAUGACUUUAGCUCACUCUGAUGGUAUGUAGGCUGGUUGAUGGCACCUACAGGCCUGUUUGAGGGACAGCUGGACAGAACAUAUCAAAAUGCUUGGACCUCGGCUGAGACCCUCCUCUCCUUCCCUGUCUUUCAAGGAAAACCCCUUCUUUACACUUCCUGUUUGGCAUGAUGCUCUCAAGGAUACGGGAAGUUGCUUUGCUGUUGGCACCAAUCCCACCACGCUGCCAGACAACAUCAACAACUUUAUCCCCCUCAACCUAAACUUUACUAACUCUUGUUCAACUGCUCUUAAAUCAGUUUAAUUAAAUGUUUACAUUUGC